GUAGGGAAUAUUGGGCAAUGGGCGAAAGCCUGACCCAGCAACGCCGCGUGUACGAUGAAGGCCUUCGGGUCGUAAAGUACUUUUCUGAGAGAUGAGAAAGGACAGUAUCUCAGGAAUAAGUCUCGGCUAACUACGUGCCAGCAGCCGCGGUAAAACGUAGGAGACUAGCGUUAUCCGGAUUUACUGGGCGUAAAGCGCGUGCAGGCGGUUCGGCAAGUUGGAUGUGAAAGCUCCCGGCUCAACUGGGAGAGGUCGUUCAAUACUACCGAACUUGAGGGCAGCAGAGGAAGGUGGAAUUCCCGGUGUAGUGGUGAAAUGCGUAGAUAUCGGGAGGAACACCAGUGGCGAAGGCGGCCUUCUGGGCUGUUCCUGACGCUCAGACGCGAAAGCUAGGGUAGCGAACGGGAUUAGAUACCCGAGUAGUCC
RNAcentral lists this ribosomal RNA (426 nucleotides) under uncultured bacterium. RNAcentral's name for it is "bacterial SSU rRNA". It matches the Rfam family "Bacterial small subunit ribosomal RNA", at positions 354 to 796 of the family's 1533-position model. The record is from RNAcentral.